GCCUCGCACCCUCCCGCGCGCACCGCCCCGCGCUCCCACUCCCGCACCGCCAGCGAGAGCGCGAAGGACCCACGGCCUCCCCAUGGCUGACCUGAGCUUCAUCGAAGAUUCCGUGGCCUUCCCGGAGAAGGAGGAGGACGAAGAGGAGGAGGAGGAGGGCGUGGAGUGGGGCUACGAAGAAGGUGUUGAAUGGGGGUUAGUGUUUCCUGAUGCUAAUGGGGAAUACCAGUCUCCCAUAAACCUGAAUUCGAGGGAAGCCAGAUAUGACCCCUCCCUGCUGGAUGUCCGCCUCUCGCCCAAUUAUGUGGUCUGCCGGGACUGUGAAGUCACCAAUGAUGGACACACCAUUCAGGUUAUCCUGAAGUCAAAAUCAGUUCUGUCGGGAGGUCCAUUGCCUCAAGGGCACGAAUUCGAACUGUAUGAGGUCCGAUUUCAUUGGGGAAGAGAAAACCAGCGUGGUUCUGAGCACACCGUUAAUUUCAAAGCUUUUCCCAUGGAGCUGCAUCUGAUCCACUGGAACUCCACCCUGUUCGGCAGUAUUGAUGAGGCUGUGGGGAAGCCACAUGGAAUCGCCAUCAUUGCUUUGUUUGUUCAGAUAGGAAAAGAGCAUGUGGGCCUAAAGGCUGUGACCGAAAUACUCCAGGAUAUUCAGUAUAAGGGGAAGUCCAAAAUAAUACCCUGCUUUAAUCCUAACACUUUAUUACCAGAUCCUCUGCUCCGUGACUAUUGGGUGUACGAAGGCUCGCUCACAAUUCCACCUUGCAGUGAGGGUGUCACCUGGAUAUUAUUCCGAUACCCUUUAACCAUAUCCCAGCUACAGAUUGAAGAAUUCCGAAGGCUGAGGACACAUGUGAAGGGGGCGGAGCUCGUGGAAGGCUGUGAUGGGAUUUUGGGAGACAAUUUUAGACCCACGCAGCCACUUAGUGACAGAGUCAUCAGAGCUGCAUUUCAGUAGCCGGAGGGAACGGGAACAAGCCAGGCUUCCUCCGAGAUAAAGAAACUGAGACUCAGAGGGGUUGAGUAACUUGCUCAAGGUCACAGCCAUUAAAGUGCAAAGCAAGGAUGCAAACCCAGGAGGAAGACAAUGGUGGUAUAGUGCCCUAGGAUGAGAAUGGAAACGUCUGAGCUGCAGCUUUGAUUUUUCCUGAAAGCCUGCAUUGUUUGUCUUCAUCUAAUCCAGCUUUGAUGGACAUCUCUGGCAGUUGCCUGUACACAUGCUCUAAUGAAAUAUUAGGAAUGGCUGUACAUUGAAAGAGGCCCCAUAUUAUAUAUCACUGCUGGUAGUAUUCAUAUUUUUUACACACACUGUUUAUUGCUUAUAUGUAGAAGAAAUGAAGCUAGUUUUCAGAGUUGUUAUUAAUAUGAAUAUAUAUCAUGUAUUAAUGUCGAGACAGGAAAAAUACAUUUCCAGCAUUAGCAGUCCUUCAUUUCCUGUCUCCAACAGAAAAUCCACUCCUUCGGAGAAUAAUGUAAGUCUUGAUAAUAAAAUAAGAGUUUUGAUUAAAAACAGAAUACAGCUUCAAAGUGGAAUGUAGAGGAUUAGUAAAAAUCAUAUCUCAUGUUAUUUUCUAGCCCUCACGCCACAGAUGAUGUCAGGCUGGGUUGUUAUUAUGGAAAACAGUUUGGAAAUGAAUGCAAAAACACAAUACUCACUUUAUAUAUUUCUGUCUUAGUAGAAGGAUUUAUUUGAAGAAAAGAAUCUAAUCAUAUUUAUUUGACAUAUUAGAAGCUGUGGUUUCUAAGACAAAAAGAAAGUAGGUACCUUGAAUAGCUCCUUUUCCAUGAUAGAAACAUAAAUUUAAUAGUACCCCACCAUAAUUUUGUGUUGUGCAUUUUGUAAGACUUCAAGAUAUUUUAUUCUGUGAAUUUCAUGUCUUCGGUAUAUUGAAACAUUUCUGUCAAAGGUGGCCAACAGUACAUUUUAAUUAAUUUUAAGUGUUACUGGCAAAUCUUAGCAUAUGUUUAUAUAUAUAUAUAAGUAUGUGUGACAGAAUGAGAUAACUUAUGUAAAACAGUAGAGUGCGUGUUGCAAAGCAAGUCCUUAAUAAAUGUUUAUUGUUAUAAUCACUGUUGUAAAACUAGUAACUUCAAAAAC
This is an RNA transcript of Pipistrellus kuhlii (Kuhl's pipistrelle), 2095 nucleotides long. It is a transcript of the gene named carbonic anhydrase 8, with no coding region annotated. The record is from RefSeq and is a predicted model, not a curated record. Lineage: Eukaryota; Metazoa; Chordata; Mammalia; Chiroptera; Vespertilionidae. The transcript is spliced from 10 exons.